Molecule: long non-coding RNA, 130 nt
Organism: Cygnus olor (mute swan)
Lineage: Eukaryota; Metazoa; Chordata; Aves; Anseriformes; Anatidae
Exons: 2
Source: RefSeq, a predicted model, not a curated record
GGUAAAUUGGAUCCACUAUUGCAGAUUUCAGUUUGCCUAAAAUAAUUUUCUCUGCUGGAUGGAACAGAUUAUUACAAGAUCCUGUGUGUGUGAAUUCCUGGCCUGAUGGAUGCUCCGGACCAUUGCUAAA